Molecule: ribosomal RNA, 483 nt
Filed under: uncultured bacterium
Lineage: Bacteria
Description: partial 16S ribosomal RNA
Rfam family: Bacterial small subunit ribosomal RNA
Source: RNAcentral
UUGAACGCUGGCGGCAGGCCUAACACAUGCACGUCGAGCGGAUGAAGGGAGCUUUCUCCUGGAUUCAGCGGCGGACGGGUGAGAAAUGCCUCGGAAUCUGCCUGGUAGUGGGGGAUAACGUCCGGAAACGGGCGCUAAUACCGCGUACGUCCUGAGGGUGGAAGUGGGGGGUCUUCGGACCUCACGCUCUAAGUUGAGCCUAGGUCGGAUUAGCUAGUUGGUGGGGUAAAUGCCUACCAAGGCGACGAUCCGUAACUGGUCUGAGAGGAAGAUCCGUCACACUGGAUCUGAGAAACGGCAGCGACACCUAGAGUAAGCAGCAGUCGGGAAUAUUGGGCGAGGCGGCAGUGGCUAAUCCAGGCAAGCCGGGGGUGUGCAGAAGGACUUAUGAUUGGAAAGCAAUGUAAGUUGUGAGGAAGGGAAGUAAGUUUACACCGUGUUGUUUUGACAGUACCAACAGAAUAAGCACCGGCUAACUUCGUG